ACUGCCAUGCUUCCAGCCAUGAUGAUAGUGGACUGAACCUCCAAACCUGAACAACUCCAGAUCUGAUGGAGCCGUCAUAUUAUUUGGACACAUUCUGCCUGGCUGCCAGUCCAAAUAACUGCAGGGCUCAGAACCCUUAAGAGGAUGCUUUCUCUCUCUCCCCCCACCCCCAUGACAGCCAGCGCCAUCAUGGCUUCCUGUAGUGUCUGGACUAGCAGGCCUCUCAUGCCAUCUCCCACACGUGAGGAGCUAUCACCCUAUACUUACUUCAUGUUCCCAGCUCACCCCUUCCUGAGACUAUUGUCUGCCACCCUCCUUGAGGGUGCCCUGUAUCCCAUGAGGAGAGCCACAGCAACAUACUUGUGUCGUGAGGUGGUAUGUUAUCUAGAGAGUUAGCUCUACCUUCCACAUCCACAGAGACGUAUAAAGACCGGACCGAGAGCCAACAGCCAUUGUCAUUCCUCUGUCUCCAUCUUCUUUCCUGCCUCCUUCAGUCAGGUGCUGUUUGCAAGGGCCCCUAAUAUGUUUAACGGACUGUGAUGAUAACCGCUUGUGAGGCUCCUGCUGUUACAAAACACAGCGUUCCUGCCUUUGUAACAGAGUGCAGUGUAUUAUAUUUUGGUGGACCAGGAAAGUCUUAACGUUCAAACCCUCUCCAGAUGGAGGCAGUGUUCUGAGGAGUUGUGGAAUCCUCCGCAGAUGGCGCCUACCAGAGGAAGAUGGUCAUUAGAGACUUGAUUCUACUUCCUGUCUAUUCUCUACUUCCUGGUCCACCAACCAUGAGCCAGCAGCUCCACCCUCCAGCCACCACAGGCACAAGCUAUCCCUGUCUCCAUGACUCCUCGUCACGGUUCUUGGCUGGUACUUGGUCAGUGAUGAGAAACAUCCUUCAUAUACACACCCACAGAAUCAGUCAUCAUCGGCUCUCCUCCAGGAGCCAAGUAGCUGACCUCUAGGCACCCCAUCAGUGAACUCGUACCCUCGGGCUUCUGGCUGGCCUCGGGCAAUAGAAGCACUAAAGAAGAGACUAUGGGAUGGGGUGGAGGUGGGGAUGGAGAUGGAGGAGGAGGAUGUGUGUCCCUGCCCAGCUGCCGGAAGUUGAAGACUUCUGCUCUUGUUGGCAGUCUUUUCCAUGAAGGGCCCCUGACUCAAGCCAACUGCUCUUUUCCCUCUGCCAGUGGUGUAUGGCAGCAGCCUUGCCCUCCAAGCCCCAGACUCUGCGCUACCUGUGGUUUCCCUAAACUCUGCCUACAGCUUCCCAAAGACCCUUCAUUAAAAUGUUUCUCAGACUA
Molecule: long non-coding RNA, 1292 nt
Organism: Mastomys coucha (southern multimammate mouse)
Lineage: Eukaryota; Metazoa; Chordata; Mammalia; Rodentia; Muridae
Exons: 2
Source: RefSeq, a predicted model, not a curated record